UACGUAGGUGGCAAGCGUUAUCCGGAAUUAUUGGGCGUAAAGAGCGCGCAGGUGGUUAAUCAAGUCUGAUGUGAAAGCCCACGGCUUAACCGUGGAGGGUCAUUGGAAACUGGUUGACUUGAGUGCAGAAGAGGGAAGUGGAAUUCCAUGUGUAGCGGUGAAAUGCGUAGAGAUAUGGAGGAACACCAGUGGCGAAGGCGGCUUCCUGGUCUGCAACUGACACUGAGGCGCGAAAGCGUGGGGAGCAAACAGG
RNAcentral lists this ribosomal RNA (253 nucleotides) under uncultured bacterium. RNAcentral's name for it is "partial 16S ribosomal RNA". It matches the Rfam family "Bacterial small subunit ribosomal RNA", at positions 524 to 776 of the family's 1533-position model. The record is from RNAcentral.